RNAcentral lists this small RNA (95 nucleotides) under Flavobacterium sp. 5. Its description in RNAcentral is "Flavo-1 RNA". It matches the Rfam family "Flavo-1 RNA". The record is from RNAcentral. Lineage: Bacteria; Pseudomonadati; Bacteroidota; Flavobacteriia; Flavobacteriales; Flavobacteriaceae.
UUAUGACUGCGUGAGGGAUUGAAGUGGAGCUCUUUUUGUGAGCGACGACUUUUUAGUCGCUCACAAAAAAGCGGGAACGUAAAGCCCGACCCGAA